UUGCAUUAGAAUUAGAAUCUAAUAAUACUAAUAUUAAUCCAUUUAACAUAAUUUUAUCAACU
RNAcentral lists this transfer RNA (62 nucleotides) under Eidmannella pallida. RNAcentral's name for it is "tRNA-Leu". Lineage: Eukaryota; Metazoa; Arthropoda; Arachnida; Araneae; Nesticidae. The record is from RNAcentral.